Molecule: long non-coding RNA, 866 nt
Organism: Teleopsis dalmanni
Lineage: Eukaryota; Metazoa; Arthropoda; Insecta; Diptera; Diopsidae
Exons: 3
Source: RefSeq, a predicted model, not a curated record
UGAAAUACUUGUUAACUAUAAAAUGGAAUGCUGAAACUUAUCCAUCAAGCUUUAAUCGAUAUAUGAUAUUAAAUUUUAAGACAAGAAAGGAAAAAUAAUUUUUUCAACAUAAGCUUGGCCUUUAUGGUUGAUUUCCACAAGCAUUCGUGAAGUCAGUAUUUACUGGGAUUAUUAUACUUCUAUUCGUUUAAUAAAACCCACAAAUAUAAUUAUCAGUAGACGAGAUAUACAUGAUGAUUAUAUCAAUCAAUAUUAAAUAGAGAACUAGGUAUAGAAAAAGCAGUUCACAGAAGUGUUCUUAGUAGAACAUAAAAAUCUACAACAGCAGAGCAUUUCAACUGGUAAAAUAUGGUGUAACAUGAAAAAUUAUUCAUUAGGAAAACUGUUCCAUGAAAUUACAUUUUUAAAAUUUAUUUGUGUACAUAAAAGGACUGCUACAGUCGCAACAGUUAAUAGAGUUGCUAACCAUAGAUAAAAAAAAAUUUGCAAAAGCGUUAGCACUCAACAGCUCAAAACAUAAAAAUGUCUAUUUGACUUUUUUUAAAUGGGAAAAUGUGCAGACAAAAAAAGUUUUCGUAAUGAUCAUAUAAAAUGUAAAACCACCAUAAUAGAUGGAGAACAUGGAUUUCAUUUCGGCGACGUGGCAUCCUAUUAAAAAGCGGGUAUCUGAGUAAUAUGUUGAUCAGGCAAACUUUUGAUGGAAAUUUUCGGAGAUUAGGAGUCUUUUUUAGAAAGUGUGUUAAACGUCAGACGUAGUUAUAUUCAUACAAUAACUACAAUUUGUAUUUGUUAUUUUGUUUUUAUAUCACCACAUUAAUUGUGGCAUUUCAAGUGUUUUAGUUGUUGAAAUCAGAGAAGAAGAAGUA